GAUGAACGCUGGCGGCGUGCCUAAUACAUGCAAGUCGAGCGAACGGACGAGAAGCUUGCUUCUCUGAUGUUAGCGGCGGACGGGUGAGUAACACGUGGAUAACCUACCUAUAAGACUGGGAUAACUUCGGGAAACCGUAGCUAAUACCGGAUAAUAUUUUGAACCGCAUGGUUCAAAAGUGAAGGACGGUCUUGCUGUCACUUAUAGAUGGAUCCGCGCUGCAUUAGCUAGUUGGUAAGGUAACGGCUUACCAAGGCAACGAUGCAUAGCCGACCUGAGAGGGUGAUCGGCCACACUGGAACUGAGACACGGUCCAGACUCCUACGGGAGGCAGCAGUAGGGAAUCUUCCGCAAUGGGCAAAAGCCUGACGGAGCAACGCCGCGUGAGUGAUGAAGGUCUUCGGAUCGUAAAACUCUGUUAUUAGGGAAGAACAUAUGUGUAAGUAACUGUGCACAUCUUGACGGUACCUAAUCAGAAAGCCACGGCUAACUACGUG
RNAcentral lists this ribosomal RNA (497 nucleotides) under uncultured bacterium. RNAcentral describes it as "partial 16S ribosomal RNA". It matches the Rfam family "Bacterial small subunit ribosomal RNA", at positions 28 to 507 of the family's 1533-position model. The record is from RNAcentral.